AGAGAGCCUUCACAACAGCAACAAAACAUACAUAAGAAACUAAUAUGUUUUUUUUUUUUGAUAACCGGUGUCCGGCGGGCCGAACCCAACCGACUAAUUCCUUGGGACCUGUCCACCGGCGCCAGACAGAUCCGGUUGCUAGCAAGGAGAAUCAAAUACUCAUGUCGUCUGGCCACACAAACGGGUCUGGCCACACAAACGGGUCUGGCAACACAAACGGGUAAAUCUAAAUUUGGAAAACUUAAAGGUUAUUGAUGAACACAACACACCUAAGUGGGAUGCUCUCCAGGACCAUCACCUGCAUUGAUGACAGCAGAGGAAAACUCUCUAGCGUUCUCGGUGGUUAAGACUUCACCUCCCAAGCGUUUCAUGGCAGAUUCGAAGGAGAGCCUGGUGCAUGUAGAAGGCUCGUAAAAGAGUGUAGCCAUUAGAUACCCCUUGAGUAUUUCA
Raphanus sativus (radish) is the source of this 450-nucleotide long non-coding RNA. RefSeq lists it as uncharacterized. NCBI's taxonomy places the organism in Eukaryota, Viridiplantae, Streptophyta, Magnoliopsida, Brassicales, Brassicaceae. The transcript has 3 exons. The record is from RefSeq and is a predicted model, not a curated record.